GCAUAUCAAUAAGCGGAGGAAAAGAAACCAACCGGGAUUGCCUUAGUAACGGCGAGUGAAGCGGCAAAAGCUCAAAUUUGAAAUCUGGUACCUUCGGUGCCCGAGUUGUAAUUUGGAGAGGGCAACUUUGGGGCCGUUCCUUGUCUAUGUUCCUUGGAACAGGACGUCAUAGAGGGUGAGAAUCCCGUGUGGCGAGGAGUGCGGUUCUUUGUAAAGUGCCUUCGAAGAGUCGAGUUGUUUGGGAAUGCAGCUCUAAGUGGGUGGUAAAUUCCAUCUAAAGCUAAAUAUUGGCGAGAGACCGAUAGCGAACAAGUACAGUGAUGGAAAGAUGAAAAGAACUUUGAAAAGAGAGUGAAAAAGUACGUGAAAUUGUUGAAAGGGAAGGGCAUUUGAUCAGACAUGGUGUUUUGUGCCCUCUGCUCCUUGUGGGUAGGGGAAUCUCGCAUUUCACUGGGCCAGCAUCAGUUUUGGUGGCAGGAUAAAUCCAUAGGAAUGUAGCUUGCCUCGGUAAGUAUUAUAGCCUGUGGGAAUACUGCCAGCUGGGACUGAGGACUGCGACGUAAGUCAAGAU
This 571-nucleotide ribosomal RNA is filed under the name Saccharomyces cerevisiae (brewer's yeast). Its description in RNAcentral is "eukaryotic LSU rRNA". It matches the Rfam family "Eukaryotic large subunit ribosomal RNA", at positions 38 to 612 of the family's 3401-position model. Lineage: Eukaryota; Fungi; Ascomycota; Saccharomycetes; Saccharomycetales; Saccharomycetaceae. The record is from RNAcentral.